This 429-nucleotide ribosomal RNA is filed under the name Chloroflexota bacterium. Its description in RNAcentral is "Chloroflexi bacterium partial 16S ribosomal RNA". It matches the Rfam family "Bacterial small subunit ribosomal RNA", at positions 355 to 776 of the family's 1533-position model. Lineage: Bacteria; Bacillati; Chloroflexota. The record is from RNAcentral.
UGGGGAAUAUUGCACAAUGGGCGCAAGCCUGAUGCAGCCAUGCCGCGUGUAUGAAGAAGGCCUUCGGGUUGUAAAGUACUUUCAGCGGGGAGGAAGGGAGUAAAGUUAAUACCUUUGCUCAUUGACGUUACCCGCAGAAGAAGCACCGGCUAACUCCGUGCCAGCAGCCGCGGUAAUACGGAGGGUGCAAGCGUUAAUCGGAAUUACUGGGCGUAAAGCGCACGCAGGCGGUUUGUUAAGUCAGAUGUGAAAUCCCCGGGCUCAACCUGGGAACUGCAUCUGAUACUGGCAAGCUUGAGUCUCGUAGAGGGGGGUAGAAUUCCGGGUGGAGCAGUGAAAUGCGUAGAGAUCUGGAGGAAUACCGGUGGCGAAGGCGGCCCCCUGGACGAAGACUAACGCUCAGGUGCGAAGGCGUGGGGGGCAAACAGG